GAUGAACGCUGGCGGCGUGCCUAAUACAUGCAAGUCGAGCGAACGGACGAGAAGCUUGCUUCUCUGAUGUUAGCGGCGGACGGGUGAGUAACACGUGGAUAACCUACCUAUAAGACUGGGAUAACUUCGGGAAACCGGAGCUAAUACCGGAUAAUAUUUUGAACCGCAUGGUUCAAAAGUGAAAGACGGUCUUGCUGUCACUUAUAGAUGGAUCCGCGCUGCAUUAGCUAGUUGGUAAGGUAACGGCUUACCAAGGCAACGAUGCAUAGCCGACCUGAGAGGGUGAUCAGCCACACUGGAACUGAGACACGGUCCAGACUCCUACGGGAGGCAGCAGUGGGGAAUCUUCCGCAAUGGGCGAAAGCCUGACGGAGCAACGCCGCGUGAGUGAUGAAGGUCUUCGGAUCGUAAAACUCUGUUAUUAGGGAAGAACAUAUGUGUAAGUAACUGUGCACGUCUUGACGGUACCUAAUCAGAAAGCCACGGCUAACUACGUG
Molecule: ribosomal RNA, 497 nt
Filed under: uncultured bacterium
Lineage: Bacteria
Description: partial 16S ribosomal RNA
Rfam family: Bacterial small subunit ribosomal RNA
Source: RNAcentral